RNAcentral lists this ribosomal RNA (1194 nucleotides) under Serratia sp. PBCC12. RNAcentral's name for it is "bacterial SSU rRNA". It matches the Rfam family "Bacterial small subunit ribosomal RNA", at positions 299 to 1488 of the family's 1533-position model. Lineage: Bacteria; Pseudomonadati; Pseudomonadota; Gammaproteobacteria; Enterobacterales; Yersiniaceae. The record is from RNAcentral.
GAUGACCAGCCACACUGGAACUGAGACACGGUCCAGACUCCUACGGGAGGCAGCAGUGGGGAUAUUGCACAAUGGGCGCAAGCCUGAUGCAGCCAUGCCGCGUGUGUGAAGAAGGCCUUCGGGUUGUAAAGCACUUUCAGCGAGGAGGAAGGUGGUGAGCUUAAUACGUUCGUCAAUUGACGUUACUCGCAGAAGAAGCACCGGCUAACUCCGUGCCAGCAGCCGCGGUAAUACGGAGGUGCAAGCGUUAAUCGGAAUUACUGGGCGUAAAGCGCACGCAGGCGGUUUGUUAAGUCAGAUGUGAAAUCCCCGGGCUCAACCUGGGAACUGCAUUUGAAACUGGCAAGCUAGAGUCUCGUAGAGGGGGGUAGAAUUCCAGGUGUAGCGGUGAAAUGCGUAGAGAUCUGGAGGAAUACCGGUGGCGAAGGCGGCCCCCUGGACGAAGACUGACGCUCAGGUGCGAAAGCGUGGGGAGCAAACAGGAUUAGAUACCCUGGUAGUCCACGCUGUAAACGAUGUCGAUUUGGAGGUUGUGCCCUUGAGGCGUGGCUUCCGGAGCUAACGCGUUAAAUCGACCGCCUGGGGAGUACGGCCGCAAGGUUAAAACUCAAAUGAAUUGACGGGGGCCCGCACAAGCGGUGGAGCAUGUGGUUUAAUUCGAUGCAACGCGAAGAACCUUACCUACUCUUGACAUCCAGAGAACUUUCCAGAGAUGGAUUGGUGCCUUCGGGAACUCUGAGACAGGUGCUGCAUGGCUGUCGUCAGCUCGUGUUGUGAAAUGUUGGGUUAAGUCCCGCAACGAGCGCAACCCUUAUCCUUUGUUGCCAGCGGUUCGGCCGGGAACUCAAAGGAGACUGCCAGUGAUAAACUGGAGGAAGGUGGGGAUGACGUCAAGUCAUCAUGGCCCUUACGAGUAGGGCUACACACGUGCUACAAUGGCGUAUACAAAGAGAAGCGACCUCGCGAGAGCAAGCGGACCUCAUAAAGUACGUCGUAGUCCGGAUUGGAGUCUGCAACUCGACUCCAUGAAGUCGGAAUCGCUAGUAAUCGUAGAUCAGAAUGCUACGGUGAAUACGUUCCCGGGCCUUGUACACACCGCCCGUCACACCAUGGGAGUGGGUUGCAAAAGAAGUAGGUAGCUUAACCUUCGGGAGGGCGCUUACCACUUUGUGAUUCAUGACUGGGGUGAAGUCG